Molecule: transfer RNA, 73 nt
Filed under: Triticum aestivum (bread wheat)
Lineage: Eukaryota; Viridiplantae; Streptophyta; Magnoliopsida; Poales; Poaceae
Rfam family: tRNA
About the family: Transfer RNA (tRNA) molecules are approximately 80 nucleotides in length. Their secondary structure includes four short double-helical elements and three loops (D, anti-codon, and T loops).
Source: Rfam by way of RNAcentral
GGCGAACAAGCUUAGAGGAUUAUAGCACGUGGCUACAAACCAUGGUGUCAGGGGUUCGAAUCCCUCCUCGCCC